GCUGGCGGCAUGCCUAACACAUGCAAGUCGAACGAGAAAGUUCCUUCGGGAGCGAUUAAAGUGGCGCACGGGUGAGUAACGCGUAGACAAUCUGCCCUUCAGUCUGGGACAACUUUUCGAAAGGAGAGCUAAUACCGGAUGACAAUGUAACACAUAAGUGUCACAUUUGAAAGCUCCGGCGCUGAAGGAGGGGUCUGCGUCCCAUUAGCUAGUUGGUAAGGUAAAGGCUUACCAAGGCGACGAUGGGUAGCGGGUUUGAGAGGACGAUCCGCCACACUGGAACUGAGACACGGUCCAGACUCCUACGGGAGGCAGCAGUGGGGAAUAUUGCACAAUGGAGGCAACUCUGAUGCAGCAAUGUCGCGUGAGUGAAGAAGGCCCUUGGGUCGUAAAGCUCUUUUAUGGGGGAAGAUGAUGACGGUACCCCAAGAAUAAGCACCGGCUAACUACGUGCCAGCAGCCGCGGUAAUACGUAGGGUGCGAGCGUUGUUCGGAAUUACUGGGCGUAAAGGGCGCGCAGGCGGAAUAGCAAGUCGGAGGUGAAAGCCCGGGGCUCAACCCCGGAGGGUCUUUCGAAACUGCUAAUCUAGAGAGGGUCAGGGGCCAGCAGAAUUCUUGGUGUAGAGGUGAAAUUCGUAGAUAUCAAGAGGAAUACCGGUGGCGAAAGCGGCUGGCUGGGGCCACUCUGACGCUGAGGCGCGAAAGCGUGGGGAGCAAACAGGAUUAGAUACCCUGGUAGUCCACGCCGUAAACGAUGAGCACUGGAUGUCCGGAGGGUUCGACCCUUCUGGGUGUCUCAGCUAACGCAUUAAGUGCUCCGCC
This 822-nucleotide ribosomal RNA is filed under the name uncultured Pseudomonadota bacterium. RNAcentral's name for it is "bacterial SSU rRNA". It matches the Rfam family "Bacterial small subunit ribosomal RNA", at positions 35 to 873 of the family's 1533-position model. Lineage: Bacteria; Pseudomonadati; Pseudomonadota. The record is from RNAcentral.